GAGUCAUCACUCCCCGGGACUGUGGGGCGGUCAGGAGCGAGUGUGGAGACGCGGCCACAGGAACCCAGGACAAUGGCGGGAACCACACAAUGAGAUAUCACCUCACAGCCAUCAGAAUCGCUACUGUAAAACAAAAACAGAAAAUAACAAGUGUGGACAAGAAUGUGAAGAAAUUGAAACCCUUGUGCAGUUGGAGGGAAUGUAAAAUGGUCCAGCCACUGUGGAAAACAGUGUCUUCAUCUCUUUCCUGUUGCUAUAACUGAACACCCGAGACUGGGGCUUAGCACAGCACCUAGUACUCAGAUGCUCACCUGAUGCUUAUCCCAUGAGUGGAUGGAUGGAGGGAUGAGCUACAAAAACCCAAGGGCUCAUCGAGGGCAGGGGCAGAGUGAGUAGUACCCUAAAACUCUUUCUUAAAGGCCUGAACCCUUAGGGAACUGAGCUGUGUCUAGAAGCGAGAAAAAGUGAAGAGAAGAUUCGUGCAAAUGCUCAAGGCACCUUGGCCGGAAGUAGAGGGGAGACCAGACCCCACAUUCCUCCAGAACCAGCAGGGUCUCCUGUCCCAGAAAGGAAUGACAGAUGGCAAGAGAUCUGUGGCCCUGGAGCAGUUCUCGGGGAGGUAGUGAGAUCCUCUAGGCUGACCACGUUGAAGUAACAAGAAAACAUUGGCCCUGAAGGGGCUCUGGCAGUGCAGCAAGGACAGCGUCAGAGUGAUGGACAGUUUUCUGAGGACCAAAUCCUACCACGUGAUGUUGCACAAAGACCUUGGAACUAGGACAUAAAUCCUGGAAGAAGUUACAUAUUUAGGCCAGGUGGGGUGGUAAUCCUAGCGGCAUCUGAGGCAGGUGGAUUGUUUGGGCCUAGGAGUUUGAGACCAGCCUGAGCAAGAUGGUGAAACCCCAUCUCUACUAAAAAUACAAAAAUUAGCUGGGUACAGUGGCAUGAACCUGUCGUCCCAGCUACUCGGGAGGCUGCGGCCGGAGAAAUGCUUGAACCCUGCAGGUGGAGGUUGCAGUGAGCCGAGAUGGAACCACUGCACUCCAGCCUGGGCGACAGAGUGAAAUUCUGUCUCCAAAAAAUAAAGAAAGAAAGAAGUUACAUAUUUUUCCCCACCAGCCUAAUGGCAAAGGAACUCCGAAUCAGAAAUGGGGCACAGGUACAGAAAAACAAGAAAGUUGUUCUGCUUGCCCACUGGAGCUGUCCCGGCACUAAGUGAAGGCCUGCCAUGUGUGUCUAAGGCCUGGAGCCAGCCCGGAGGCUGCACCUGCAUCACUCAGCCCUCUCCCUGCUCGUCUCUGUGCCUCUUCAGUCCAAUGCUUCCUCCUUCCCAGGCCCCAUCUGUUCUGUAGUUUUCUCUUAACCUGGCUUCCUGGGAAGGGCUGCAGCCAUGUUUGAGGAGCCCAGUAAAACACCCCCAAGGGCUGUUGCCUUCUUCCUCCGGGCUAACUGAAUUCUUGCAGGGGCUGGGAAGAGGUGGGUGGGAGGACAGGGCAGGCUGAUCUGGAGAGUCUGGCUUCCUGGGCCCCAGCCCAGCCCUCGGCAGAGCAAUGUGACCUGAUCCCACACUUGGCCAAGGCAGCUGCAGACAUUUGCAAAGUGACAAAAGGAGAAGAGGGACCUAAGAAGAAAACAGCAUUUGCACAGCACAUGGAAGUGCCUGGAAAUGUUUUCUGGACACAUUAUUCUUCUCUAGGGUGAUUUUCAAGGCCAACCAAGCCUGGAGACUAAAGCUUCCAGAGAGGCAGGGUCUCUCUCUGUUGCCCAGGCUGGGGUCCAGUGGUGCAAUCUCAGCUCACCGCAACCUCCGCCUCCCAGGUUCAAGUGAUUCUCAUGCCUCAGCCUCCCAAGUAGCUGAGACAGAUAUUUUUGCGUGUCUGACACCCAUGGCUCCACCUGGACCUGAAGGCUCCUGUGACCCCACCCAGGAGUGACUCAGUUCAAGACAACAGCUUUGACCCCCUCUGAUUUCAUCUCCACUCCAACCAAUCAGCAGCAAGCACCCAUUGCCUGGCCACCCCCACCCUUUACCCAAACUGCCUUUGAGCCUUGGAGGAGAUUGGUUUGAGUGUGGCGUGGCUGGCUACAAGUCAAUUAAAUUCUUUCCUUACUG
Long non-coding RNA from Macaca mulatta (Rhesus monkey), 2110 nucleotides. NCBI's taxonomy places the organism in Eukaryota, Metazoa, Chordata, Mammalia, Primates, Cercopithecidae. The record is from Ensembl.